This 4095-nucleotide long non-coding RNA is filed under the name Spirodela polyrhiza (greater duckweed). RNAcentral describes it as "long non-coding RNA (SPOL_LNC000340)". The record is from RNAcentral. Lineage: Eukaryota; Viridiplantae; Streptophyta; Magnoliopsida; Alismatales; Araceae.
AGUACCUGGUCAGCAACAAGCCAAGGAGCCGCCUCUGAAAACCAUUCCGGGCCGAGUCCAAUGAUCGGCCCAGAAACAAAGCGGGCUCCUCCGCCGCUCUGAGCCACCGCAUCCUGGCCGGGCACCUCCGCUCUAGCCCCGCUCAGCGGAAGGUCGUCGUGGCCGGCUCCGGCGGCGCUGGCCUUGCCUUCGCACACCACCUCACCCAACCACUCCACAAUUGCUUGCUUCCCUCUUCGAUUUCGGCCAUUUAUGAAGUUAUGAGGCUAACCCAAGAGAAAGGAGUGGCUUUGUCUCCGUCUCGGGUGCUUCAGGGGUUUCGAUGUAACAGUUCCUGAUGCGGGGAGCUACCCUGCGGUGGAAAUAGGAAAAAUUCAUCUAUUCUCAUCUGAAAAUCAUUCUAGGUUCGAGUUCCGCCUUUAAGCGUCUGAACUUGCAACCUCCAUCCCCGUCCUUUCUUGCCAUCGCGAAGCAUUCAUGCCGCUGGCCGCACCAGGCGCGAGAAGCUUGCUUAAUUGGUCGCAUUGCACCUGAAAACUUCAUCAAGGUGCGCAUCUUUUGGAUGAGACGAAAACUUAGUUCUCUUGAGUUCGAUCCUAUUCAAGAACCUACCAACUGUCGCAUUUAAUAUCAAUGCUAAGAAUCUGUUUGACAUUUAUUGGGUCUAGUUUUUCUAUUAAAUGCCCGUUUUCUUAUUCACCGCUGAUAAGAACUAUAAUAAUUCGGAUUAGCCAAUAUACUUGUGAACACCACUGAAAUGAUAUAUAGCCUUCCACAGUUCGAGCUUCCAGUAUUUCAGGGUCCACCUCAACUUCCAGCGCCCUUCAGUGCAUUAUUGUACCCCACAAUUACAUGACAUCUUAGGGUCAAUCGUCUGCCAGCAGUUCCUCUUAUUGGUCCCCGUAUCGACAUUCUCGGCAAUGUUUUGACCACAUUGUUUCCAAAUGUGCAUAUUUUAUUCACUUAAAGUUUUCAUUCUAUUCAAGAAAUUGUUUUUGGCUGGUCUUGUCGUGAUCUGUGCUUUGAAUGUGCGGCAAUUGACCUUGACAACACAGAAAUUUCUUGGGGGAAGUAUGAUCCAAGUGAGAGAUCGAACUAGCUGAAAGGAAGAUAAAAUUUUAUGCUGACUAUGAGCAUGAUUUAUGUAGCUGAUGACCCAUCGUACAAGAGAAAUCUUGCUAGUCAUAAUCAGAAAUCUCAGAUCACAGUGACUGCGAGGUAGCUUUCUAAAGAGUUCGGCUGCUCUGGGAAUUUUUGGUCUAACGGUGCGGAUUGCACGACAAAUUCGUAUUGCAUUAACGUAUUCUAUAUGAAUUAUGGAAUAUAUUCUGGGAUAUUAUACAUCAUUUUCCUGUUUUUCCCUGAUUUCACAAAAUAGCGAAACUUUGAUAUAUCAUGGUGUCGUCGAUCAGUAAAAGAGAGGAUUUUUAUUCCAUAGGCGGAGCCUAUGAAAUCGGAAGGAUGUUGAUUUGAUGAACUCCAUAAAUUAUGAUAAAACUUUGAUCCAUUUCUGGAGUAGUUUGUGGAGAGGAUGCUAAUCAAGUUGACGGAAUAGUAUUAGCUGCUGAUAUUUGUACACUUCAAUCAGUUGUUACAAGUUCGUAAUGAUUGACGGAAUGAUAUCCCCUUGUCUUCGCUCGCCCUCUUCUACUAAUCCAAGUGAAUACACGAUAGAUACUUCCUGCUUAAACAUCUGGUAACCCGUCCCAAAUUUUUGAUAAUCACUGUCAACGUUAAGAAACAUGUUGUUUUUACCAUGAAAAUAGGCCAGCCCUGCAAAGAAAGGAGGAAUUAUUAAUGAGAUGAAACUUUCUUCGCGUGGUCCAGUCUGUCAAACCAUGGACGGAUUGAAAGGUGGGUAUAGAUUGCUAUCUUUCUAAAAAUUGAGUAAUACUGGGCUUUGACUUAGUUGUAAAAUCAUGGGUCUAGGUCCAUAUCUGAAAGGCUUGCAAGAUUUUCAGUGGCCAUUAGGGGAUUUAACGGCAGCAUGGAUAUUCUUUGACAUGAAUGUCAUUUUCGAUGAAUAUGUGGAUGAACCUUCAACAGUCGUCAAGACUGAUUAUAUGAGUCGAUUGCACUUUGUUAGUUCUUUUUCUUGUGAUGAAUAAAUCGCCAUGCUUCGUAAAAACUUUUUAGCUAUCUUUUUCAGCCAUCUAAAUUGGUAAUAUUCUAAUAUUUUGAUCGCUGCGGUAUGAUGCUAAUCAACCGUUGCUCCUAAGAGAUGAGAAAAUCAUGAAUAAGGUAAUUAGCUUAUCUUUCCAACUGCUUGAAAGAAUUCCCCGCUGUGUACCCCCACUAAUUCCCAGGUGAUUCCUGAGGCCACCGAAAAUAAGAUCUUGCCUUUUUAUAGAUUAUUUAUGCCGUUGAAAUGAAAAUCUUAUUGGAUAUAAAUUGCGAUUGGAUAUUGAAUAUAAAUCACUCUCUAGGAGGCUAGAGAGAAAUAGGGAUGGACCAUUAGUUGCCAGUUCAACCCUUUGACAGAAAAAUUCUUGCUAACUGAACCACGUAUUCUUCAUAUUGCCUCAGUCGUGUUAAUCGAAAAUCUGCUGUGAAGUAGUGACGGCUUUGUUUAAGAAGGUUCUUGACGGCCAACCUUUCAAUUUUCUCUGAUUAUGAUUAUACCGCUGCGCUUUCAUCAAAUCUUACUUCCGCUAGACCGUAGCGGUCCAGUAAGUUGGUAUCCUAAAACGGAUCGAGGAGCUUAAAUGAAGAAAAUCCUCUGUAGCCAUACACUUGAAUAGAUCGUAUUUGUUGUUCCUAUCUAUAGGAAUGUAGAGUUAAAGCUUCUUGAUUAUUUAAACCAUCGUUUCUUUUGACUUGCUGAGACGCCUUUCUUUUUCCAUUUUAGGCUAUUUUAUCUCCGCAAUCAUCAGUUCUUCCAUGGACUCACUACGAUGUGAUUCAUAAAAACUUCUGUCUCAACCUUGGCAUUGAUUUUGUGCUACCCCUUGUAUAUUUUCCCAUUCGGAUGCCUGCCUGCUUUUUUUUGGUUUCUCUCUCCAUGUAGAACUAGUUUAUUUUUCGAUAAAAUACUGCUGUUUCUCCCCUCCUUUUAUUAUAAAAUAUUCAUAUUUUUUCGUUCCAAAUUUUAUUUUUAUUUGACGCCAUGCAUUCCCUCUCUUCCAAUUGUGGCUUACAUUCAAUCAAAAUCUGAUCUUUACUUCCACGUGUAGGCUCAUCCAAACACACGACGAGAGGAGCAACUUCUUUUCCAGACUUGUUCAUGGCUGGAGACUGGAUGGUGACCCGUAUAAUGGAAUCCUGGUCAUAGGUGGACUAAUUAAGAUCUCGUGGCAGUCUUUGGCGUCCACUCCAGGGAGCCAUGCUUCUUCGGCAAGAGUCGUCAUCUGAGGAAAAGUUGGGGAGGGUUCCUGAAAAUCGGAAACAGCUGAGGAUGCUCCUUUACGCCAUUACAGAAGGCCCUCGAUUCAGUAUCUUCGCCUUUAUAAGAUCAUGGGCUGCGGCCGUUCAAUGAGAUUGGGAACGGCUUGGGAUGCCUCUUACCCAUUAUAGAAGGCAAUAUUUUCCUUAAUGGAGGAACAGGAAAUCGCAAUCUCAUUGAACGGCCGAAAUGUAAUCUGAAAUUUCCAUCGCCCGCAUCUCCCUUCUGCAGGAUGAAGCUGUCAGCGGAGGGGGGCUUGAAGCAAUGCGGGGCGGCGACAGGAGGAUCAGCUGGACGAGGGCUCAGCUCCCCUUCUCUGUGCUCAAUCUUUCUUUCUUUCUCUUUCCUUGACGGGUUCACGUCCGAGACGAUGAAUCUCAAGAUGCAGUCAGAAAGGGCCAGUCUGAGGAAUCUGUAGAGGAAGAGUUAUGAACCUCGGUGAUGUUCUAACAAGGCGUAGGAGGCUUCUGAACUCCGGAACGGAUGAGCUCCGCGGUAGGGAGCGGCCAUUAUGGCAGAUCUAAUCCCUGCUUGAGUUGGUGGAUGGGCGAGGUGCAGGAACAGACCAAAGAAGGGAAGGAACGAUGAAUCCCACGUUUAAGGCCCAUUCAGUGGUGGCGAAGUUCAUUUAAAGCGUUGGCUGGAAGGGCUUAUUCCCCCCUCUCAGUCAAUAUCUCACACUGACCGGAAUCUGACGAUAACCGGCCACCGUG